This is a non-coding RNA of Chlorocebus sabaeus (green monkey), 926 nucleotides long. Lineage: Eukaryota; Metazoa; Chordata; Mammalia; Primates; Cercopithecidae. The record is from RefSeq and is a predicted model, not a curated record.
GAAAUAAUUAGAUAUGGCAAUUUACAAUUCCAAUUUAUUCAGGUUAAUCACUAUAAUUGCUUGUGGAUACUAACUGGUGGAUUUCAUUGGUGCUGUUUGUUGGUAUACCAUCCGGGUAGCUUUGAAUUAGAAUAGUAUUGACUCACUUUAAAACAAGAAGAACAAUAAUGAUUUACUCUUUCCAUUUUAUAUGGCCCUUUCAGGAAGAACCAGUUCAUAGGCUGAGAAACAAAAAAGAGAAGAAAUGGUCCUAUUUGAAAAGAGAGAAGAUGGAGUGGUACCUGCACAUGGCAAGAUACUCACAUUCUGGUCUGAUACAGACUCAGUGCACUUUCCUUAUAGCAUCUAAUGUCCAGCUUCUGAAUAUCAGCUUUUUAGCAUCUGUCGUCACCAUCCUUGCCAAGAACAGCCCAGAAAACUUCCCAAUCUGGAACCAAUGACAUUAAAAGUAGUUUGUCUAUUGUUUAGUUAGUACAAUCCAAGCAGCAACAUUUAUGGUGGGAAAAUACAAGGGUGAAAAAGUUGUCCUGUAUCUAUAAAUAAGGUAUGUGAUUUUAGGAUAGGAUGACAAUUAUGGCUGAAGAAGAAAUUAAACGAUAAUGUUGUGGGCUUCUUUUAAGGCAGAUCAUGAGGAUCACAUGGCAGUGAUUCAAAUGACAGAAAACUGGUAGAAAUUUUUCACUAUAAAUAAAAGAAUUGUUAUAAAAGAAAAUGUGACAGAUCUUAGUAAUAGAUUGGACAGUUUGAUGGAACAAUAAAAACUUCUGUUCCAGACAGGAUACAAAUGAAGAUUUACAACACUGUGCUUUAUCUUGUUCUCUAUGCACAAACUAUGUGAGCACAGGCCUGCACCAUCUGGUAUGGACUAUGUAACCCAUAUGUUUGUUAUACUAUUUUACUUGGAAGAGUAAAUUUACAUGAGUAGA